GAUGAACGCUGGCGGCGUGCCUAAUACAUGCAAGUCGAGCGAACAGACGAGGAGCUUGCUCCUCUGACGUUACCGGCGGACGGGUGAGUAACACGUAGAUAACCUACCUAUAAGGCUGGGAUAACUUCGGGAACCCGGAUCUAAUACCGGAUAAUAUAUUGAACCGCAUGGUUCAAUAGUGAAAGACGGUUUUGCUGUCACUUGUAGAUGGAUCCGCGCCGCAUUAGCUAGUUGGUAAGGUAACGGCUUACCAAGGCAACGAUGCGUAGCCGACCUGAGAGGGUGAUCAGCCACACUGGAACUGAGACACGGUCCAGACUCCUACGGGAGGCAGCAGUAGGGAAUCUUCCGCAAUGGGCGAAAGCCUGACGGAGCAACGCCGCGUGAGUGAUGAAGGUCUUCGGAUCGUAAAACUCUGUUAGUAGGGAAGAACAAAUGUGUAAGUAACUAUGCACGUCUUGACGGUACCUAAUCAGAAAGCCACGGCUAACUACGUG
Molecule: ribosomal RNA, 497 nt
Filed under: uncultured bacterium
Lineage: Bacteria
Description: partial 16S ribosomal RNA
Rfam family: Bacterial small subunit ribosomal RNA
Source: RNAcentral